Cricetulus griseus (Chinese hamster) is the source of this 95-nucleotide non-coding RNA. The record is from Ensembl. Lineage: Eukaryota; Metazoa; Chordata; Mammalia; Rodentia; Cricetidae.
ACUUUAAAGAAUGUAUUUCCAUGGCUAGACAAAAGGGUGAAGAGAGCAGCCCUUAUCAGAGAAAACCACGGGGCUCACUGUACUGCCCAACAUUU